UACGUAGGGGGCUAGCGUUGUCCGGAAUCAUUGGGCGUAAAGAGCGUGUAGGCGGCUCGGUAAGUCCGCUGUGAAAGUCCAGGGCUCAACCCUGGAAUGCCAGUGGAAACUGUCGAGCUAGAGUCCGGAAGAGGCGAGUGGAAUUCCUGGUGUAGCGGUGAAAUGCGCAGAUAUCAGGAGGAACACCAAUGGCGAAGGCAGCUCGCUGGGACGGUACUGACGCUGAGACGCGAAAGCGUGGGGAGCAAACAGG
RNAcentral lists this ribosomal RNA (253 nucleotides) under uncultured bacterium. RNAcentral's name for it is "partial 16S ribosomal RNA". It matches the Rfam family "Bacterial small subunit ribosomal RNA", at positions 524 to 776 of the family's 1533-position model. The record is from RNAcentral. RNAcentral also lists the same sequence under 1 other name.